GGCCGAAGAAGGUGACAGCCCUGUAGCUGAAACUGUUUUCCCUCCAGAGUGGAUCCUGAGUACGGCGGGACACGUGAAACCCCGUCGGAAUCCGGGAGGACCAUCUCCCAAGGCUAAAUACUCCCUAGUGACCGAUAGUGAACCAGUACCGUGAGGGAAAGGUGAAAAGCACCCCGGAAGGGGAGUGAAAUAGAUCCUGAAACCGUAUGCCUACAAGUAGUCAGAGCCCGUUAACGGGUGAUGGCGUGCCUUUUGUAGAAUGAACCGGCGAGUUACGAUAACGCGCGAGGUUAAGCCGAUGAGGCGGAGCCGUAGCGAAAGCGAGUCUGAACAGGGCGUUCAGUGCGUUGUCGUAGACCCGAAACCAGGUGAUCUACCCAUGUCCAGGAUGAAGGUCAGGUAACACUGACUGGAGGUCCGAACCCACGCACGUUGAAAAGUGCGGGGAUGAGGUGUGGGUAGCGGUGAAAUGCCAAUCGAACCUGGAGAUAGCUGGUUCUCCCCGAAAUAGCUUUAGGGCUAGCCUCGAGGUUGAGAGUUCUGGAGGUAGAGCACUGAUUGGACUAGGGGCCCCCACAGGGUUACCGAAUUCAGUUAAACUCCGAAUGCCAGCAACUUAUACUCGGGAGUCAGACUGCGAGUGAUAAGAUCCGUAGUCAAGAGGGAAACAGCCCAGACCGCCAGCUAAGGUCCCAAAGUGUAUGUUAAGUGGAAAAGGAUGUGGCGCUGCCUAGACAGCUAGGAUGUUGGCUUAGAAGCAGCCACCAUUCAAAGAGUGCGUAAUAGCUCACUAGUCGAGUGGCGCCGCGCCGAAAAUGUAACGGGGCUAAACAUACCACCGAAGCUGCGGAUUCCGUAAGGAAUGGUAGGGGAGCGUUCCAAACCGCUGUGAAGCUGUACCGGAAGGAGCAGUGGAGCGUUUGGAAGUGAGAAUGCCGGUGUGAGUAGCGAAAAGAGGGGUGAGAAUCCCCUCCGUCGAAAGCCCAAGGUUUCCUGAGGAAGGCUCGUCCGCUCAGGGUUAGUCUGGACCUAAGCCGAGGCCGAAAGGCGUAGGCGAUGGAUAACAGGUUGAUAUUCCUGUACCGCCGAUCCACCGUUUGAACAAUGGGGGGACGCAGGAGGAUAGUGACGCAUGCGGAUGGAAGUGCAUGUG
RNAcentral lists this ribosomal RNA (1153 nucleotides) under Exiguobacterium acetylicum. Its description in RNAcentral is "bacterial LSU rRNA". It matches the Rfam family "Bacterial large subunit ribosomal RNA", at positions 353 to 1512 of the family's 2925-position model. Lineage: Bacteria; Bacillati; Bacillota; Bacilli; Caryophanales. The record is from RNAcentral.